CUGGAGCAGCAGGCCGGACCUCUCAGCUCUACAACUUUGGACAUCGCGUUUUCUGAUGAACUUUUUACCCGUAAAUGUGUCGAAAUUUUUACCCUGGCCAGCCAUGUGCAUUCAGAAAAAUUCCUACUAUAACUGUUGCACGUUUGGUACCAAUUUGGCAGAGACUUGAAGUAGGCAUACAAGACAGAAUUUCAUGAAACUUGUGAUUUUUUGUCACUGGGUGGCCAGAACAGUUAUACAAAAAACUGCAGUCUUCAACACAACAUUCGCUGUUGAGACCUUUACUACAAUUCGUGAGUUCCACGAAGUUCUUAAAUUCCAACUUUGAAAAUUCGUGAGUGGCUGGGAACUCCGCUGAAUUGCCGUAGAAUGCAGUGUAAAACUUCACAACCAAAGCUGGACACAUCGAGCCAACAACAUUGUUUUUGUUGAGAAACGGGUAACAGCUGAUGCAGCUGUAAGCAAUGACUGGAAACUGGGGGCAACUUAAUAGCCGACCUAGCAGCGAGCUUUCAUCCAGGCAAGCUUCAGGAGACAUCGAUGGGACUCGUGUCGAUGCCUCUGAAGAGAACAUGGCAGUUGAAUAUCUUCGAUAUGUGAUAUCUGGGCUUACAUUGGAGGUCAACCACUAAGAUUGUCCAGAUGGGUGUUGAAGAUCAAUGGAUUUGUGGUAUGAGGACGUACUUGGACUUGGAGGUCACCAAAGGACCAAGGUAAAAACAACUUUGCCAUAUUAUAUCCGACCUCCACUUUUUAAAGUCCGCUUUUGCGAUUUACCUUUUUGGAUAAUCUCUUUUUUUUUAAACUGGCAGUAAAUACAACUGAGUAAGGUUUGUGAUCACACAGACCUUUUACUUUUUCGAAAAAACAACCAAAUUUUAAGUGUUUGCACAUGAUAAAUGUAUCAAUUAGUGAAUUUAAUAUGCAAAAGAGGCUCUUUCAUGAGUUCCAAUUUCUUUGGGAAAAAACCCACAGUUAAAAAGUCAGAUUUUUGAUAGAGCCAAUAGUGGAGGUUGGGUAGCGCAAGUUGAACCUCAAGUUCAAGAUCAAGACAAGAUGAAGACUGCAAAGAGUAAGAGAAGAUCUAACCCGCUCUCUUGCAGAGUCCCACCCCUCGUACCACCCCUUCCCCUCCAAGAUGUUUGGCGACCUUGUUGAUGUUGUCCUUGCCUGAGAGUUUUCAAGAUGACUUCAGAUUUUCUUGGCUGGGCAUUUCUUGAUUUGCAUAUUGGUCGAAGCCAAUGAUGCUUUUUAACUAGGAGACUUGUCUAUACUGGAAAUUUUCUGUUGGGUUGAUACUUUAAGUUAUCAGUUGUCAUAUUUAUUUAUAAUUGCCAUGAUCUUAAACUCCAAGUAGUGUAAUGUAUGUUUAGACAAGGAAGAAUAGAAAUGCAACUAAAACUUCCAAUCAAAAUAAUUCUCUAAAGUUCUGAUGAUUUUUUUUUAUUUGUUAUGUUUUUUUGACAAAGCAAAGCAGAACAAUUUAAUUUAGUCAACAUAAAACACACCACACUAAGUAAAAGUAAUCACAUAGUCGAAUAUGUUAGUCAAAUUACCAUUCAUUUGAUGUAUAAUGUUUGAUUUAGGAGUAUUUAAAUAGAUAAUUUAGACAAACUAAAUACAUAUUGACAUAUUCCUAAUAUCAACAUUACAUCAAUAUGAAUGGAGAAACGUUCAACUAUUGAAGUCUUUAAAAAUUAGGCGAAAAAAUCAUACCUAGGCCCUAAUACAAAAAAAGCUGUGUAUAAAUAUCUUGCUCAUUUAGAUCAAAUAAGUUCAAAUAAAAACAAAUGGGAGGGGACCUAAAACCUUUAAACUUGAACUUCUCAAAGCUAUUUGCUCAAAAUGCGCAUAUUUUGUAUUAACUUCCCUAAACAUAUUGUUUGCGAGCGCUUCGAGAAAAAUAAUAAAAAAUAAACGAGGACGGGAAAGACUGAAGAAGGUGGAAAAAAAGAAAGGAAGAAGAAAGAGCAGAGAACCCAUGGAGGAAAGAGACCAGUGAUGCUGAGGUAUGUUUGGUGGUAAGACAGAAAGGCCUAGAGUAAUAAAGACUUGGAGAUUAGGCUAACCCUCUACUCUUUCAGCAGGUUUACUGGCAAUGGGUAAAGUAUAAGAUGACUGGUGUAGUUCUUAGUCUUGAUUCUAAGAUACUUAAUCUUGAAACAAAACUAAGAGCUACCCAGUCAUUGGUAAAUGCCAAACUUGAGUAGACAAUGAAUACUCUCCCCUGAUAUCUCUAAAGAGUGACUGCAGCUGAGGUUAAGUAUAACAGGUGAAGUAUCAAUGUAAAAAUUACCUUUUCUCAACAACUGCCGAAUAACCAACAUUUUCUGAACAGCUUCCCAAUAAUCAACAUUUUCUCAACAGCUUCCAAAUAACCAAC
Asterias rubens (European starfish) is the source of this 2383-nucleotide long non-coding RNA. RefSeq lists it as uncharacterized. The transcript is spliced from 3 exons. The record is from RefSeq and is a predicted model, not a curated record. Lineage: Eukaryota; Metazoa; Echinodermata; Asteroidea; Forcipulatida; Asteriidae.